This 388-nucleotide ribosomal RNA is filed under the name uncultured bacterium. RNAcentral's name for it is "bacterial SSU rRNA". It matches the Rfam family "Bacterial small subunit ribosomal RNA", at positions 29 to 417 of the family's 1533-position model. The record is from RNAcentral.
AUUGAACGCUGGCGGCAUGCCUUACACAUGCAAGUCGAACGGCAGCACGGGAGCAGUCCUGGUGGCGAGUGGCGAACGGGUGAGUAAUAUAUCGGAACGUGCCCGGUCGUGGGGGAUAACGUAGCGAAAGCUACGCUAAUACCGCAUACGAUCUACGGAUGAAAGCGGGGGGAUCGCAAGACCUCGCGCGAUUGGAGCGGCCGAUAUCAGAUUAGGUAGUUGGUGAGGUAAAGGCUCACCAAGCCGACGAUCUGUAGCUGGUCUGAGAGGACGACCAGCCACACUGGGACUGAGACACGGCCCAGACUCCUACGGGAGGCAGCAGUGGGGAAUUUUGGACAAUGGGCGCAAGCCUGAUCCAGCAAUGCCGCGUGCAGGAUGAAGGCCU